Molecule: non-coding RNA, 482 nt
Organism: Pelobates cultripes (western spadefoot toad)
Lineage: Eukaryota; Metazoa; Chordata; Amphibia; Anura; Pelobatidae
Source: the annotation of a GenBank genome assembly
UUAAGGAGUUAAGGGAGAAAUGCAGUCACUGAUCGGGUGAAGACCUCUGAAGAGGAUAUUGAGGCCCUUAAACAGAGACUGUCAUCAUGCUCUAUACUACACUGAGCGACAGAUCUAGACACAACCACUUAAAAGUCAGAGGCAUACCUGACGCUGUCACACCAGAAGAGCUCCCACACUAUGUAAGGCGUCUCAUAGCUUCAGUCUUACAACCAAGCCAGGCCAAGAGGUUUUCCUUGGACGGAACGUAUCGUCUCCCAAAAUCUGUAAGAGCGCCUACCUCUGCAAUACGCGACGUCAUCGUCCGCUGCUCUCUAGCCCAAGAUAAAAGAAUUCUACUAACAGCACUGAAGGGCAAGACACCUCUUACCUUUGAAGGCUCUGAGCUUACAUUCUAUCAAGACCUCACCCGGUCCACCCUACAGUGGAGGUGGUCUUUGAAUCCUGUUACAAGCCAAUUGAGAGGAUGGAUGGAUGUCGAC